This 74-nucleotide transfer RNA is filed under the name Gemmatimonadota bacterium. RNAcentral describes it as "Gemmatimonadetes bacterium tRNA-OTHER". It matches the Rfam family "tRNA". From Rfam's summary of the family: Transfer RNA (tRNA) molecules are approximately 80 nucleotides in length. Their secondary structure includes four short double-helical elements and three loops (D, anti-codon, and T loops). Further hydrogen bonds mediate the characteristic L-shaped molecular structure. tRNAs have two regions of fundamental functional importance: the anti-codon, which is responsible for specific mRNA codon recognition, and the 3' end, to which the tRNAs corresponding amino acid is attached (by aminoacyl-tRNA synthetases). tRNAs cope with the degeneracy of the genetic code in two manners: having more than one tRNA (with a specific anti-codon) for a particular amino acid; and 'wobble' base-pairing, i.e. permitting non-standard base-pairing at the 3rd anti-codon position. Lineage: Bacteria; Pseudomonadati; Gemmatimonadota. The record is from RNAcentral.
CGGGGCGUGGCGCAGUCCGGUAGCGCACCUGCUUUGNGAGCAGGGGGUCCCCGGUUCGAAUCCGGGCGCCCCGA